RNAcentral lists this ribosomal RNA (497 nucleotides) under uncultured bacterium. Its description in RNAcentral is "partial 16S ribosomal RNA". It matches the Rfam family "Bacterial small subunit ribosomal RNA", at positions 28 to 507 of the family's 1533-position model. The record is from RNAcentral.
GAUGAACGCUGGCGGCGUGCCUAAUACAUGCAAGUCGAGCGAACAGAUGAGGAGCUUGCUCCUCUGACGUUAGCGGCGGACGGGUGAGUAACACGUGGGUAACCUACCUAUAAGACUGGAAUAACUUCGGGAAACCGGGGCUAAUACCGGAUAAUAUAUUGAACCGCAUGGUUCAACAGUGAAAGACGGAUUUGCUGUCACUUAUAGAUGGACCCGCGCCGCAUUAGCUAGUUGGUAAGGUAACGGCUUACCAAGGCAACGAUGCGUAGCCGACCUGAGGGGGUGAUCGGCCACACUGGAACUGAGACACGGUCCAGACUCCUACGGGAGGCAGCAGUAGGGAAUCUUCCGCAAUGGGCGAAAGCCUGACGGAGCAACGCCGCGUGAGUGAUGAAGGUCUUCGGAUCGUAAAACUCUGUUAUUAGGGAAGAACAAAUGUGUAAGUAACUAUGCACGUCUUGACGGUACCUAAUCAGAAAGCCACGGCUAACUACGUG